Molecule: non-coding RNA, 26 nt
Filed under: Cricetulus griseus (Chinese hamster)
Lineage: Eukaryota; Metazoa; Chordata; Mammalia; Rodentia; Cricetidae
Source: RNAcentral
AUCUCUUAAAAUACUUUGCCAGUUAG